RNAcentral lists this long non-coding RNA (659 nucleotides) under Homo sapiens (human). RNAcentral's name for it is "CFLAR antisense RNA 1". The record is from RNAcentral. Lineage: Eukaryota; Metazoa; Chordata; Mammalia; Primates; Hominidae.
UUGGAUUUCCUUUGGCAGGGUUCCCUUGUAUGGAAGUUCUCAGGAGAACAACACUCUCAGAGUCCCACUGUCUCAAAGAAUUCUUAAUGGACAGGUAUUUUUAAAGAAGUCAGGGUUAUCCACAGCUAUGUACAUAUAAUACCAAAUCAGAUCAUUUAUUCUGUACCUGAGGCAAAAAAGCUUCUGAUUCCUGAAUGGAUUUCUUCACUGGUUCUUCUGGGGGAUGAGAGAGAGAAACCAUUUACAAAGCUGAAGGAGAGCUAAGUCCACCCCUACACUGGCUGAGUUUCUUUGUAUAACAACUGUUCUCCCUUCCUAUUUUCUUCAAUUAUCUCUUCUUUCCCCAGCUAUACUUGGCCCCAAGGUUUCAACCUCACACUGAAGAAAGUGACAUAAGAAAACACAAGUCCCAGUGCUAUCAGGGGCUAUCUGGAAAAGCUGCUUAAACAGCAAGUGAAAGAAGGCUCUCCCCUACCCCGUUCUAGGUGAGGAACAGGUGGCUGACUCACCCUGAAGUUAUUUGAAGGAUCCUUGAGACUCUUUUGGAUUGCUGCUUGGAGAACAUUCCUGUAACUUGUCCCUGCUCCUUGAACUAUAAAAGCAGAAGGGAGGUACUGAGUUAAAACUUACAAAUUAUUAUCAAAUAAAUCUUCAAUAGU